GACGAACGCUGGCGGCGUGCUUAACACAUGCAAGUCGAACGGAAAGGCCCUGCUUUUGUGGGGUGCUCGAGUGGCGAACGGGUGAGUAACACGUGAGUAACCUGCCCUUGACUUUGGGAUAACUUCCGGAAACUGGGGCUAAUACCGGCUAGGAGCUCCUGCUGCAUGGUGGGGGUUGGAAAGUUUCGGCGGUUGGGGAUGGACUCGCGGCUUAUCAGCUUGUUGGUGGGGUAGUGGCUUACCAAGGCUUUGACGGGUAGCCGGCCUGAGAGGGUGAACGGCCACAUUGGGACUGAGAUACGGCCCAGACUCCUACGGGAGGCAGCAGUGGGGAAUAUUGCACAAUGGGCGGAAGCCUGAUGCAGCAACGCCGCGUGCGGGAUGACGGCCUUCGGGUUGUAAACCGCUUUCGCCUGUGACGAAGCGUGAGUGACGGUAAUGGGUAAAGAAGCACCGGCUAACUACGUG
RNAcentral lists this ribosomal RNA (468 nucleotides) under uncultured bacterium. RNAcentral's name for it is "partial 16S ribosomal RNA". It matches the Rfam family "Bacterial small subunit ribosomal RNA", at positions 28 to 507 of the family's 1533-position model. The record is from RNAcentral.